RNAcentral lists this microRNA precursor (103 nucleotides) under Marmota monax (woodchuck). The record is from RNAcentral. Lineage: Eukaryota; Metazoa; Chordata; Mammalia; Rodentia; Sciuridae.
AGUGGGAGAGCUGGGUCAAAUGGUGGUUCCAUUCCAAGUUUUCUGAGAAAUUGCCAUACUGCUUUCCAUAGUGGUUGUACCAAUUUGCAUUCCUAUAAGCAAU